CGUUGCGGACCCGGGGGCGGUACCCGGCGCCUCCACCAUUUUCUUUUGGCACCCGCGCCAGGCGGGACCACAUGGGGGCGAAACAGGAUCGACGCGCGUGGUAAAGGCAGCGCUUUUGCCCGGUAUGAUACCACCGUUAUCGGGUCACACUCUAUGUGCGAACGACAAUGAGUACGCACUCGCUGCUUAGAUAAGCAAGCGCGGCCCGGGGGGCGCCGGGCAACAGAAGCCCCCCACC
Molecule: transfer-messenger RNA, 238 nt
Filed under: Alphaproteobacteria bacterium
Lineage: Bacteria; Pseudomonadati; Pseudomonadota; Alphaproteobacteria
Description: partial transfer-messenger RNA
Rfam family: Alphaproteobacteria transfer-messenger RNA
About the family: Bacterial tmRNA, also known as 10Sa RNA or SsrA, is named for its dual tRNA and mRNA-like properties. Its role is to liberate the mRNA from a stalled ribosome.
Source: RNAcentral